RNAcentral lists this non-coding RNA (392 nucleotides) under Blumeria hordei DH14. Its description in RNAcentral is "Blumeria graminis f. sp. hordei DH14 Eukaryotic large subunit ribosomal RNA". It matches the Rfam family "Eukaryotic large subunit ribosomal RNA", at positions 3002 to 3401 of the family's 3401-position model. The record is from Rfam by way of RNAcentral. Lineage: Eukaryota; Fungi; Ascomycota; Leotiomycetes; Helotiales; Erysiphaceae.
UGAUUGUCACCGCAAUGGUAAUUCAGCUUAGUACGAGAGGAACCGCUGAUUCAGAUAAUUGGUUUUUGCGGCUGUCUGACAAGGCAGUGCCGCGAAGCUACCAUCUGCUGGAUAAUGGCUGAACGCCUCUAAGUCAGAAUCCAUGCCAGAACGCGGCGAUUUCCUCCCACACAUCGUAGUCGGAUACGAAUAGGCCUAUGGCCCUGAAUCUUAGCUAGUUGGCAAUGGGACAGCGGGAGAAGUCCACUGUCUCAGCUGACGCCUUGCAAUUUUACCAUGCGUGGGGAUAAAACCUUUGCAUACGACUUAGUUAUAUCAGACGGUGCUGUAAAUAGUAGAGUAGUCUUGUUAUUACGAUCUAUUGAGGCUAAGCCGCGCUGAUUUAGUUUUGU